UACGUAGGGGGCUAGCGUUGUCCGGAAUCAUUGGGCGUAAAGAGCGUGUAGGCGGCCCGGUAAGUCCGCUGUGAAAGUCGGGGGCUCAACCCUCGAAUGCCGGUGGAUACUGUCGGGCUAGAGUGCGGAAGAGGCGAGUGGAAUUCCUGGUGUAGCGGUGAAAUGCGCAGAUAUCAGGAGGAACACCAAUGGCGAAGGCAGCUCGCUGGAACGGUACUGACGCUGAGGCGCGAAAGCGUGGGGAGCAAACAGG
RNAcentral lists this ribosomal RNA (253 nucleotides) under uncultured bacterium. RNAcentral's name for it is "partial 16S ribosomal RNA". It matches the Rfam family "Bacterial small subunit ribosomal RNA", at positions 524 to 776 of the family's 1533-position model. The record is from RNAcentral.